Molecule: ribosomal RNA, 787 nt
Filed under: uncultured bacterium
Lineage: Bacteria
Description: bacterial SSU rRNA
Rfam family: Bacterial small subunit ribosomal RNA
Source: RNAcentral
UCGAGCGGUAGAGAGAAGCUUGCUUCUCUUGAGAGCGGCGGACGGGUGAGUAAUGCCUAGGAAUCUGCCUGGUAGUGGGGGAUAACGUUCGGAAACGGACGCUAAUACCGCAUACGUCCUACGGGAGAAAGCAGGGGACCUUCGGGCCUUGCGCUAUCAGAUGAGCCUAGGUCGGAUUAGCUAGUUGGUGGGGUAAUGGCUCACCAAGGCGACGAUCCGUAACUGGUCUGAGAGGAUGAUCAGUCAUACUGGAACUGAGACACGGUCCAGACUCCUACGGGAGGCAGCAGUGGGGAAUAUUGGACAAUGGGCGAAAGCCUGAUCCAGCCAUGCCGCGUGUGUGAAGAAGGUCUUCGGAUUGUAAAGCACUUUAAGUUGGGAGGAAGGGUUGUAGAUUAAUACUCUGCAAUUUUGACGUUACCGACAGAAUAAGCACCGGCUAACUCUGUGCCAGCAGCCGCGGUAAUACAGAGGGUGCAAGCGUUAAUCGGAAUUACUGGGCGUAAAGCGCGCGUAGGUGGUUUGUUAAGUUGGAUGUGAAAUCCCCGGGCUCAACCUGGGAACUGCAUUCAAAACUGACUGACUAGAGUAUGGUAGAGGGUGGUGGAAUUUCCUGUGUAGCGGUGAAAUGCGUAGAUAUAGGAAGGAACACCAGUGGCGAACGCGACCACCUGGACUAAUACUGACACUGAGUGCGAAAGCGUGGGGAGCAAACAGGAUUAGAUACCCUGGUAGUCCACGCCGUAAACGAUGUCAACUAGCCGUUGGAAGCCUUGAGCUUUUAGUG